RNAcentral lists this ribosomal RNA (248 nucleotides) under uncultured bacterium. RNAcentral's name for it is "partial 16S ribosomal RNA". It matches the Rfam family "Bacterial small subunit ribosomal RNA", at positions 109 to 353 of the family's 1533-position model. The record is from RNAcentral.
AGUAACACGUGGGUAACCUGCCUUAUAGUGGGGGAUAGCCUUUCGAAAGGAAGAUUAAUACCGCAUAAGAUUGUAGUAUCGCAUGAUAUAGCAAUUAAAGGAGCAAUUCGCUAUAAGAUGGACCCGCGCCGCAUUAGCUAGUUGGUGAGGUAAUGGCUCACCAAGGCGACGAUGCGUAGCCGACCUGAGAGGGUGAUCGGCCACAUUGGGACUGAGACACGGCCCAAACUCCUACGGGAGGCAGCAUG